Drosophila ficusphila is the source of this 1007-nucleotide long non-coding RNA. RefSeq lists it as uncharacterized. The record is from RefSeq and is a predicted model, not a curated record. The transcript is spliced from 2 exons. NCBI's taxonomy places the organism in Eukaryota, Metazoa, Arthropoda, Insecta, Diptera, Drosophilidae.
UAUCGAUGUUUGGAAUGUUUUGGAUUGUUUUUUCGAUUCUUGGCACGUUGCAGUUGUGGAAGCUGCACUGGAAGCGCUCGCAGUUGGAAGUCUGAAAAAAUGCAAGAUUUUGAUGGCGUUUGGAGGCAUUCUCCAAAUCGAAUGUUAAACCGUUAACCGCCACAAGGUUCGAGUCAAUAAACCGCUGCCGUCUGCGGUGACUCUGUUGCUGUGCGAGAGAUCAAGUUGCAUUUUUAUGGGGCCAAGGGUCGUCGUGGCCACCAUCACACCAUCACCAUCAUCGCCAUCAGCUUCAUCAUCACAUCUUCGCCUACGUAGGCGCGUGCCUGGAGAAUUGUGUGCAAUACACACUCGGUUCGGUUCCAGCUGAGCCAUUAAAGAGGCAUAAAUCUUGGUUAUGAAAUUGGAAAUGAUUUGCUCUGCAGACAACACGUUCAAGUAGGGAGCAUAAUGCCCCGAGAACUGAUGCGUUCAGGAAGUGCGCCAUAGCCCCUAGACCCCGAAAAAAGCGUUAAUGAAAAGGAAAGUUGGUCAGCGGCACAAACAAAAAGUGCCACUUCAUGCCCACCGCCGAGUAGAAAGAAAAACAAAGACGAGAAGACGGCGAAAAGAAGCCAAGGCAGCUAAAGAAGAAGAAAUUUCUAUAAACAAAGAGAUGAGACGCAGAGCCAGAGCAAAAUUAUCAAAGAACAACAAAAAAAAAAAAAAAAGAAGUGGAAAAUGGGACAUGGCACACUCUUGGGCCCACAGAAACAACAACAAAGACUGAAUGAAAUUCAUGUCGUUGUCGCGCUCAUAAAUUCUUCUACGCCUAUAUGCGCCCGGUAUCGCUGACUAUCUGAAAGAUACACCCACACUCGGUGAAAAACUAGCAACUCAUUCAACCGGGGAGGUGCUGCCUGCAUCCGCUGUAUGUGUCUAUAGCCCAACUUAUAAAAAAGAAUCUAUGUAAAUUUGUGUAUUUUGAAUAAAUUCCAAGCCCAUCGAAGGUGUGAGGCUUUAUCGUA